ACAAGUAAACGGCUCUCCUAUAUUUAUCCUCCCUUGUCUAAAUUGUGGGGUUCCGUCAGUUUGCUAGGAGGAGCAGUGUAGUACAGAUGCUGAAAGAUCAGCUAUCAUCUUUUGACUGACAUCACUAAUUGCAAUGAUCUCUAUCAUUUGGGACUGCAGACUACUUACUAUAGUCUUUUCCAUACAAUCGUCUUUGAGAAAAGAAAAUUACCACCACAGUGACUAAAGUGCUUUGGAGAAUAAGAUGACCUCCUCCUCUCUGUGGCAGCCCCUCACAUAUUGGAAGUCUGCUAUCAAGUCACCUCUAGUCCUUCUUUUUGUUAGAUUAGACAUAAUUUCUGCAAUUGUUCAUAUAUUUUAUCCUCCAUUCCCCUAUCUUUGUUGCUCUUCUCUGCACUCUUUCUAGAGUCUCAACAUCCUUUUGUAUCAGGGUAGUCAAAACUGGAUGCAGUAUUCCAAGUGUUGUCUCACCUGUGCAGUAUAAAGCGGUACUAGCUCUU
Molecule: long non-coding RNA, 500 nt
Organism: Pantherophis guttatus
Lineage: Eukaryota; Metazoa; Chordata; Lepidosauria; Squamata; Colubridae
Source: RefSeq, a predicted model, not a curated record